AGGAUGAACGCUGGCGGCGUGCCUAAUACAUGCAAGUCGAACGCACAGCGAAAGGUGCUUGCACCUUUCAAGUGAGUGGCGAACGGGUGAGUAACACGUGGACAACCUGCCUCAAGGCUGGGGAUAACAUUUGGAAACAGAUGCUAAUACCGAAUAAAACUUAGUGUCGCAUGACACAAAGUUAAAAGGCGCUUCGGCGUCACCUAGAGAUGGAUCCGCGGUGCAUUAGUUAGUUGGUGGGGUAAAGGCCUACCAAGACAAUGAUGCAUAGCCGAGUUGAGAGACUGAUCGGCCACAUUGGGACUGAGACACGGCCCAAACUCCUACGGGAGGCUGCAGUAGGGAAUCUUCCACAAUGGGCGAAAGCCUGAUGGAGCAACGCCGCGUGUGUGAUGAAGGCUUUCGGGUCGUAAAGCACUGUUGUAUGGGAAGAACAGCUAGAAUAGGAAAUGAUUUUAGUUUGACGGUACCAUACCAGAAAGGGACGGCUAAAUACGUGCCAGCAGCCGCGGUAAUACGUAUGUCCCGAGCGUUAUCCGGAUUUAUUGGGCGUAAAGCGAGCGCAGACGGUUUAUUAAGUCUGAUGUGAAAGCCCGGAGCUCAACUCCGGAAUGGCAUUGGAAACUGGUUAACUUGAGUGCAGUAGAGGUAAGUGGAACUCCAUGUGUAGCGGUGGAAUGCGUAGAUAUAUGGAAGAACACCCAGUGGCGAAGGCGGCUUANCUGGACUGCAANCUGACCG
RNAcentral lists this ribosomal RNA (741 nucleotides) under Leuconostoc mesenteroides. RNAcentral describes it as "bacterial SSU rRNA". It matches the Rfam family "Bacterial small subunit ribosomal RNA", at positions 26 to 745 of the family's 1533-position model. The record is from RNAcentral. Lineage: Bacteria; Bacillati; Bacillota; Bacilli; Lactobacillales; Lactobacillaceae.